RNAcentral lists this ribosomal RNA (253 nucleotides) under uncultured bacterium. RNAcentral describes it as "partial 16S ribosomal RNA". It matches the Rfam family "Bacterial small subunit ribosomal RNA", at positions 524 to 776 of the family's 1533-position model. The record is from RNAcentral.
UACGUAGGGUGCGAGCGUUAUUCGGAAUUACUGGGCGUAAAGCGUGCGCAGGCGGUUCGUUGUGUCGGCGGUGAAAGCCCCGGGCUUAACCUGGGAAUGGCCGUUGAGACUGGCGGACUCGAGUGUGGCAGAGGGGGGUGGAAUUCCGCGUGUAGCAGUGAAAUGCGUAGAGAUGCGGAGGAACACCGAUGGCGAAGGCAGCCCCCUGGGCUAACACUGACGCUCAGGCACGAAAGCGUGGGGAGCAAACAGG